UAGACCUCUGGCCCUUAACCAUGCUUUUCUCCUCCUCCCCAGGAGAAGCCCACGCAUUUUGACUUUCAUGGUAAGGAUUCUUGAACUUGAGCUUUAGAAGAGGUUUUGGAUCCUUUCUCGUUGAAUUAGAUACUGAAGGUGUACUAACUUUCUCGUCGUUCAGGUCAUCACAAGAAGCGGGCCCAGCUUCUGCAUGUUUCAAGGAAGCUAAUUUGUUGCCCCUUGUGGCAGGAACUUCAGCUCCAACCCUUGUAAUAACAUUACCAUCAUUGCUUCUUUUUCCUAAGUUUUCUCGUCGAAUUAGAUACUGAAGGUGUACUAACUUUCUCGUCGUUCAGGUCAUCACAAGAAGCGGGCCCAGCUUCUGCAUGUUUCAAGGAAGCUAAUUUGUUGCCCCUUGUGGCAGGAACUUCAGCUCCAACCCUUGUAAUAACAUUACCAUCAUUGCUUCUUUUUCCUAAGAUACCAAACGUCUUGA
This 478-nucleotide long non-coding RNA is filed under the name Nicotiana benthamiana. Its description in RNAcentral is "long non-coding RNA (NBEN_LNC039341)". The record is from RNAcentral. Lineage: Eukaryota; Viridiplantae; Streptophyta; Magnoliopsida; Solanales; Solanaceae.